UCACGUUUCCGUUGGUUGCUGUGGCGCUAUCUUGACUAGCCGCUGGCCAGCGAGCGCUGCACACAGGUGAUUACUCGCCACCAAGCCCCACGUAGAUGGAUGUGCAGGGCUCCUGACCAGGGUUUGGCUAGGGGGGGACGCAGGAGGGACCUGCUGGGAAAUUUUCUAUCAGACAGCAAAAUGAGUAGCGGUUAAGAGAGGCCACAUUCAACCAUAAUAUGAGCCCAUUACAUAAGGGAAUUUAUGGAUCUAUAUUUAAGAAUCAUGAACAGGCCCAAUGCUGUCUACUAUCUACUUUGACACCUGAGAUAAGAGCUGGUGUUUUAGAACAACCUACCAGACAUCUCUAAAAGUCACCACUGGACGGCGAUUUAACCAGCAGAUAAGUCUCGAUGUGAAAAAGAAGAUAUGAGAAGAAUGAGAGUGCAAUCAGAUAGCUGCGUGUCCCACCAGUCUGAAAUCCUGGAUUAACUUCUUCAACCCUGACGAUCUGAGCAGCAUGAGCUGCUCCGUGCGUGUUUGUGUCCCUUGUCUGUGAGAGGGAUGAGUCAACAGGGACUAAACAGGACUCAAGUCAUGGUCAGGGAUGAUCAUAUCCCUAGACACCUUAGACUAGAAUAUAUCACUGCAACAUUUGCCCUUUUGUUUGCUCAUUUUGUGAAUUGGUUUCUGUUCUAAAUUGAAGAAAUUGAAAGCCUCUAUUGUCAUUGUAUAGCUCUGCAUACAAUGACAUUUCUAAGAUGACAUUUCAAAAUAUGAAACAGUUAUCAUGCUUUUACAAAAUGUUUAACCAUACAAUACAGCAUAACAUAUUUGUCUACAAGGCAUGGAUCUCCGUUCACAUCGGACAUUUCUUUGUUCUCCGUCGGUCUAAACAGACCUCCUGGGACAAAACACAGGGCCAAGUCUUGAAGCCAUGAGGACCGGGGGUCGGCCAGAGCCCUGGCUUAGGCGUAUUUGGCAGGCCAGUCUCAGGGCUCCUCUGUGUCCCGCCACCAGCUGUAAAUGAGAUGUGACAGGCACACGGCUCAGCUGGAACGGGAACCGGCCUCUAAACAAACACGGGCAGCAGCAGCAGUGGCACGCCGGUUCCCAGAGUAGACCACACAAAGUCCGUCCACCACAAUGGACGCGCAGCGGAAAGCAAGUCGUCACUUUUCCAAAGGUCCACUCGAAAUGGCGCCAAUGAUAACGAUCAGCCAAAACCACAUGAAACGCAAAAAUCAACAGGCAAUUACACAAUUAGGGCUGUAGGGGAGCGAUAAAGAACCCAAACGGCAAUGUUCACAGCCACAGGCAAACAAAUGUUUUCUUUCUGUUUUUCUUUCUUUGUUGUUUUCCCUCUUUUUUUUCUUUGUUGUCUUUUUUUCUCUAGUGCCUCUAAAUAUGGUCAGUGUCCGGGAGACAUGAGAAAUUAGAUGACUGUCAUUUAAAGCUGUUGCUCACUGCUUCAGAAUGGUCUUUCUCUGAAAAAAGAAGUUGAAAUCAAGGAAGGAAUCUAUGAUAUCUGCCCUUCUCCUGAUUUGCUCACAUUUCUCACAUAUUUCUGUAGUGCUGGCGGAACAGGAAAUUUACACAAAUGAGUCGUCUGUGAGCCCUGUGCAGACUUUUUUUUAGACUAAUUUAUCAGGGACUCCAACUCAUUCCAUGCUCGGCAGAUUCUCUACCUGAGCUCAUGGAGGAGUGGAGCCCACUGCCAAAUACUUUAGCAAUCAAUAAACUGUUUUUGGCCUUUCUCUGUAUUUUAA
This is a long non-coding RNA of Clupea harengus (Atlantic herring), 1748 nucleotides long. RefSeq lists it as uncharacterized. The transcript is spliced from 2 exons. NCBI's taxonomy places the organism in Eukaryota, Metazoa, Chordata, Actinopteri, Clupeiformes, Clupeidae. The record is from RefSeq and is a predicted model, not a curated record.